UUCGAGCAUUCUCUGUUGAAAAGUUGUUCCGUAAGGGCGUGCAUAAAUCUAAAAGUUCAGUUUCUGGAAAGUGCCAGAUAGUGAGUGAGCAACUCUUGGCAACAGAAGAGUUGCAAUACGCGUGCAAACCUGUUAUACAUACAUAGAUUGUAAUGAAAAUAUGUGAAGGCUGUGAAGAAGAGUGUGAUAUGAUGAGGACGAGCAAAUGGCCUUCGUGACAGAGCGAGUGGUAUGAGUCAUGAGCAACUGCUGUCAAUCAACGCUCACCUGAAGCCUUUGGUCCGGAAUUCACACUCGCUAAUUGUUCAUAGUAAGCGACAACAGAAAACGUUUUUAGUGGCUUGUGUAGCUGAGGGUUGCUUCGCACAAAGACGACACAUACAUACAUACGCAGUUUUCCUGCUCCUCGAAACGUUAAUGGCAACGAUGAGGAGGAACGGAACACUUGACAAACAGCAUGAGCAACCACAUCAAAACAGAAAAUAUUAAAUCGAUGGGCAAUGAAAUCGAUACCUACCUACCAACCUGCAUCAUCAAUCAAUCCGAUCGAUAAUCGUGUACUUGAUUUUCGUUUUAAUCACUGAGUGAGUCUUCACGUCUGUCCGUCUUCUACAUCCACAAUGGCAGCCAGUUGCACACCAGCCGAUCCUACACAGUUGGCCGAAACAGCAAACUAGCAGCGGCAGCAGCAGCAGCAAACACCACCGAGUCUCCCUUACCCAAAAUGCCAGAUGCAGCUGACAGAUAAAUGGGGACAAGGCGGAAUUGCGCGCGGCAGCAGCAGCUUGAGCUCAACAGCAAACACGUGUGUGUGCCUUAUGCUUCCGGGUCGGUUACCACCAUCACAACAAUCACUACCUACUAUACAUAAAGCGGUUAGCAGUUGCUGACGGCACCUACUACCACCACCAAUCCACACAGAUAUCUCUGCAUACACGCGGUAUUCGUAUAUCAGCUGCGAACGCAAAACAAUUACUUUUUAAAACAGAUUUACAGCAAAAGGAAAUCAUAGAAUGGAAUCUCUUCGUCUUCGUCGUGUCGUCGUCGUCAUUAUCUGCAGCUGCAGCAACUUCUCAGCAUCGUCGUAUUCUACUUAUCACUUCACUUCUUCACUUGAAUUUGGUGGCACGUAAGCCGUAUCGAUUUUUUCUUCUUGAUUAACUCUUGAAUUGCAGUUAAGAUAUACUAUGAAAUUCAAUGAACUCUCAUAUCCACACACUCCAUGAAGAGUGAGGGGCUGCACACUUAUCUACAGAUUGAUAGAGGAAUCGGCGGAGUUGGCGAACUAUCGUAUCGUAAUAUAGGAAGAAGUUUGAUAUUUGUUUGUCACUAUCGCUAUGUUUAGCAUAAAUACGUGGCCUUCAAUCUUUUUGUAGCGAUGCAUCACAGUUGAACAGUGCCUGUGAGCGUCUGGUUUCAUCAAUGGAAAGUCGCAUCCAUUCCUAGUCUGGUCUGACAGUAUAAGAUCAUGCAGCUUUAAGCGCCCGCCCUGUGGACACCUCUAAAACUUAGGACACAAAACAUUUCUUGUUUUUACAAAUAUUUUUUAGCGACGUGACGCAGUUGAACGGUGCCUGCGUGCGUCUGCAAGGAUAUGACCAUGAAUGAGCAAGCAAUACACAGACCAUCCAAUAUGUCCAAGCCAUCUUUUCUGUCAAAUCAAGUUGCACGUUUAGAAGUACGCCAGGAUUGCAAGUCGAGAUAAAGAGCUGGCCAAAAACGCGUAACGUGUUUCUUAUUACCUAACAAGAAAAAAUGUUGCGUUUGUUUCUCUUUUAGCAUGUUGGGCCAAUGGUCUGUUCGUUAAGAGCUGAAACCGAGAAACUAAUUUAUGAACGUUGAUGGAUGAUCAUAAUCAUAUUCAUAAUCCUGGAUAGCGUAAUUUUUACUAUUUCUACUCUUAAUUUGGCUCUUGUAGCCAGCCCAACUGUUUCGUAAACGUGUUUAUAUGAUUUCCAGCCAGGCGGCAAACUGAAAAUCUAAACGACAGUGAGGUGGACUUAUUGUCUUGGACAAUGGUCGGAGGAAUGAACCUAUAUCAAUAUAGCAGAAAGACGAAAGAAUCAAGCGUAAAUUUUGAGAUUAUGCCAAACAAAAAACAUUUCUUUUUGUAUUUUAUAGCAAUAUGACGCAGUUGAACGGUGCCUGCGCAUAUUGGAAGUUGUUAAUCCCAACAAAUAGGGUAAUACUUCUUGUAGUUGAAGCGAGGGAACGUCAUCUAAAGGAUUUUCAUGUAAAUUAUGCGAUUUCCUUUGUGCAAAAUUCUUCCUUUUUGUAUCUUGUAGCUAAGAACCGCAGUUGAAUGUGCCUGCGCAUAUCUGUCGGUAGCUUUCCAAGUGAUAGAGGAUAAAGAUGCCAUGUGUCGGCGAGGAAGUGAAGACUUUGUUCUUUACCUGGGGUCAUCCCCUUAAGACAUCAGCAACUAUAAAGGAUUUGUCACAGAAGUUUACUUUCUCUCUACUUUUACCUACAUCUUUCUCUCUAAGCAUGUCAUGUAUUAAUUACAGUGGCGUUUCUUGGUUGCUACCCUCCUGGAAAAAUUGCAAAGAAACCCGAAUACCUAUAGCAAAAUUCCUUGAGGCAAUGAGAAUGAAAAGCCAACUUGCAAGCAAUAUACACCUCGAGAGUUGACCAACAUCAUUCCGGUCGAUAGAUAACCCUGUGAACUGUGAAGGUCAGCCCGACACUGAAUACACCUUGAAUUGCUUAAAUAUGUUUUACAGCCUAAGAGAAAAGACGAUCUUCAAGUACUUGCAAGCUAAUACGUCCAUAAAAGCCAUCAUCACAUAUUACCAUCUCUAGAUCGAGGAUAGGCCUUCCUGCUUUAGUCACUUGGAACUCAAUUGACGACGUGAGAAAUUUGCUCGCUUACCAUUUUUGCUUUGCACUUUCACUUUUGCAGCGAUUUGUGAGGCAGUUGAAUGUGCUUAAUACUACUACAAAUUCCAUUUUGGGAACGCUCCGGAGGUACAAUAUGUACACACGAAUUCUAUUUAUUUUCCAACUCUACUAGCUCUCACACAACAAAAUCGUUAAAGGGAAUCAAAAACGAUACAUCAAGUUCAUCCAGCUAGGUACAGUCUUCAAACAAUGCCAGCACCACAACAACAAAAUGUAUAACAACUGCUCCCAGCUGCCUUUUGAUGGCCAAUGCGAGUCGAGAGUCGAGUCCAGCCAAAUAGCCUGCUGAAUCACAGAUACAGAUACAGAUCCAAGUAGAUCGUUUUGUACCUCGUACAAUUUAACGUUUUUACAUUACAGAAACGUAAGCUGCACGAUAUUGGGCAACGACGAUAGUCGUCUACUGGCUAAUGGCUAGUUGGUAGUUGAUGCACUCCAGCUCCUACGCACUAACGACCCGACCACUUGAACACAAGGAGCAGCCUCUGUUCCCCUAUUGAGGAGGCAUCACAGUCUAGCUCGGCCAAGACGAGGCUGGGUCAGCCUCAGUCCAGCACGUAAUGCAUUGCACCGCAUAGAAAUAUGCGCUCGGUCCGCGCUAAAGGGAAACAAAUGCGUUUGGACCGAGACCCGCCACACCACACAAUCACCAGCACUCGCUUAAGAGGCGAGCUGAUGUGUUGUCGUUGUUAUCGGGCAGCUGCCUGCAAGUACGCUACCGGCACUCAAGCAUCGUCGUCGUCGUCUUCAUGGUCGCCGUCGCCUCGUUCUCGCUUUCAGCAUUUUGUGCGCCCUGCAAGCCAAGUGUAUGUAUAUUGGUAGUAUAUAGUAGCAGCUAUGAAGCCUUAACGAUCCAACCUGAGGAAUUCGUGCUCGUGGCUUAUCGCAAAAGGGAAUCAAAUGCGACUAGUAUUCCAAGCAUCAGAUCAAAUCCUGUGCAGCAGCAGUCGCGACAGAUGGCAGCGAUCAAGAGAUCGAAGAACCGGCCAGACGGCGGUGGUGGUAUUCAACUGGUUCUAUAAUCUGUUGUGUAACUUAUCCGCUCACUCCCAUUUCUUAGGUCGCACAUAUUUUUAACAGAAUGUAACCCCCCCGGUAAUCAAUCAAAUCCAUCGCAAAGGGAAUCAAAUGCGAUUAGUGUUCGAUGACGAAGAAGCUAGCUAGUUGAACCAGCUCUACGCUACGCUUCGAUUUGCCAGUUGAGCGCUUAACUCCUGGUGCACCGUUCAGCAUUCCGCAAAUGGGAAACAAUUGCGAGGUGGUACUGCAGCAACGCACACACACACAGACACACUCACGCACACAUGCGGGAUUGCCUGCAUUGUGGCGGCCCAAAAACGAGCAUCCGAAUCCUCAAGAUGAAGAGCGCACCAUACAGCGAGCGAGUGAUCGAGCAAGCAGGCAGGCAGGGAAUCGAUGCCAGCAUCAAUUUGAAUAGCUGAUCCUUGUCCAUUUUGUUGUUGUUGUUGUUGGUGUGUACUUGUUUUUUCAGAUAACGACUUCCAACCUGGUCGACUGUCAGUCUGUCCAGCCAGCACACGUCAAGUUGUUCUCGAAGGGAAUCCAUGAGACACGCGCUUCAUUUAUAUUCCGUAUCUUGUUUUUGUAUUUUUUCCUUUUUUUUUUUUUCCUUUUUAUCUCAGUUUAUGUAUUUUAGAUCAUACGAUGAAGUAUGUAUCCUUCCAUGAUGAGGUACUGUCAAAAAUGAAAUUCUUCUGGUCUAUAGCCAUUGUCAACUAUAUUAAUGUAAAUUGUACAGCCAUGCAAAUGAGCUACUAUAACAUGUUACUUGUUAAAAAUUGUAUAAGUUUUCGAUACUGGUAUUGUAAGAUUGAAUUGUAUUUGUAUUAUUGUAAAACUGUGACAUGUACAUAUUAGUAUGGCUUAAGACACGUGGCAGGGACGACUCGUUCGUAGAUGAAUUCGACAGACGAGGAUCCCUGAUGAUGGCCUACUAUCCGCCCGUAAUGAGAGAGAGUGAAGGAGCGACUUGAAUGAAACAACUUCAUUUCUCUACGGGCCUACCCAUACCUUUGUCGUCUAUCGAUCUUCAGGGGCUUUUGCUGAGAGGGGACGGGACGGGACGAGACAAUCAACCGUUCAAAUUUGGCUGGCAGAGAUAGCUACAACUGGGCAAUCUAUUGAUUAUAACCUGAUCGACAAAAUUCAACCAUCCACCACCCCAUGUGCUGAGAUUGAAUCUCAUCCGAGCUUGGUUGUUUUUCUAAGUCGACUCAGAUAUCGUCGCAGCGCUUUUAAUCGACAUUUUCUUGUUGACGAGCUGGAGCGGCAAGGGUCCUUUUAAAUCAUCUUACGGCAUUGACGGCUUAUCACUAUACAAACACAUCUGCACGUACCUCUGGAGGUCUUCGUUAGGAGUAAAUCUUGAACUAGUUUGGGAACAUUUUCAUCUUUGUCACAACUGCAUCCAGUCCGAGGCAAAUAGGCAGAACUCAACCGAUUUCCAAGCCACAAUUCUACUACUAAUAUUGCGAAAAGAAAUCAUCAUUUUCAUCGACACGACCGCCUGCACAAUCACCUUUCUCUUCGUACGAUGGCUAGCAUAUAAACGCGUAGGACACUUUUUGAAUCUCUGUUUGGACAACUGCAACUUCAGCCUUAAGAAAUCUUGCUUCGCAUCUGUAACACACACACACAUUUCCCUGCAUUAGGGCUCGCUGGCAGCGAUAGGAACUUACUCUGGUCAUUUUAUUCUGCUACUCUGCUAAUUUCUUCUACUACUAUAACUGAUGAGAUGAGGCCGUUUAUUUUUGACGUUUUCUGAGAAGACAUCGUUUCGGGCAAUUAGGAUUUUUUUUGAGCAUUGAGAAUAUACUUUCUGAAAUUUUGGAACAACAUUUGAGCUACAUUAUGACGGCAGCGUGGGACUUAAGCUUUGACUGCGGCGUGGGAUACCAAUAGAACUGACGGCGGCGAGGGAUUCGCAAGUUUUCGGCGUGGGACCUUUAGGGAUUUGGUUAGGCGAGGGCGCUAGGUACAACACUUCUCUAGCAUUGAUGGGAGGGGCGGCGGUGAAUUGACUGCGGCGAGGGACUUUGCGGAGGACUUCGUGGGAUUUGCGAACUGACGGCGGCGAGGGAGUCUCGAGCGGGGACGGCUGCGUGGGAGGUCCUGACUGCGGCGAGGGAUUACCUGACGGCGGCGAGGGAGUUGCGCGACUGCGGCGUGGGAGCUUCGGACGGCGGCGUGGGAUUAUUUUGAAAUUGUACUACAUCGGGCUUUGUUUUUCUUUAUGAUCAUCGUCGGUAUUCCCCUAGCACCUAAGAACAUGAUACAAAUUAUACGUUCAAAGCUGAUAUACUUCCAUAAUUAGCUAUGCUCUACCUGUAUACCUACAACUGUCAUCUAUAUAGAAGGACUGAACGAUUUAGUGCUUAAUUGAACAUCAAUAACCUACAUCCCUUGACCUAAUAACCCCAUGAGUGGAGCCAAUCAUCAUAUCAACAUAUACUGUAUUAUAAAAACGUUCCUGGAAUACCGGAAAGCUAUAACACGAUGAUCCAGAUAAUCUAAUGUCAAUUAAAAUCGGAUUAUCUGCACAAUAAAUAUUGUUUGAAAAAAUGAAAAGAA
Long non-coding RNA from Drosophila mojavensis, 6492 nucleotides. RefSeq lists it as uncharacterized. The transcript is spliced from 4 exons. The record is from RefSeq and is a predicted model, not a curated record. NCBI's taxonomy places the organism in Eukaryota, Metazoa, Arthropoda, Insecta, Diptera, Drosophilidae.